This 519-nucleotide ribosomal RNA is filed under the name Pedobacter sp. MSB3023. Its description in RNAcentral is "bacterial SSU rRNA". It matches the Rfam family "Bacterial small subunit ribosomal RNA", at positions 8 to 526 of the family's 1533-position model. Lineage: Bacteria; Pseudomonadati; Bacteroidota; Sphingobacteriia; Sphingobacteriales; Sphingobacteriaceae. The record is from RNAcentral.
AGAGUUUGAUCAUGGCUCAGGAUGAACGCUAGCGGCAGGCCUAAUACAUGCAAGUCGAGGGGUAGAGUAGGCUUGCUUACUUGAGACCGGCGCACGGGUGCGUAACGCGUAUGCAACCUACCUUUAUCUGGGGGAUAGCCCGGAGAAAUCCGGAUUAAUACCGCAUAAAAUCACAGAAUGGCAUUAUUCAAUGAUCAAACAUUAAUGGGAUAGAGAUGGGCAUGCGUGUCAUUAGCUAGUUGGCGGGGUAACGGCCCACCAAGGCGACGAUGACUAGGGGAUCUGAGAGGAUGACCCCCCACACUGGUACUGAGACACGGACCAGACUCCUACGGGAGGCAGCAGUAAGGAAUAUUGGUCAAUGGAGGCAACUCUGAACCAGCCAUGCCGCGUGCAGGAAGACUGCCCUAUGGGUUGUAAACUGCUUUUAUCCGGGAAUAAACCACGAUACGUGUAUUGUGCUGAAUGUACCGGAAGAAUAAGGAUCGGCUAACUCCGUGCCAGCAGCCGCGGUAAUAC